This is a small nucleolar RNA of Pipra filicauda (Wire-tailed manakin), 135 nucleotides long. RefSeq annotates it as small nucleolar RNA SNORA5. The record is from RefSeq and is a predicted model, not a curated record. NCBI's taxonomy places the organism in Eukaryota, Metazoa, Chordata, Aves, Passeriformes, Pipridae. The transcript has a single exon.
UGCAGCCCAGUCAAAUUCGGUCCCUGCCCCACCCAUGGCCGGGACCGGCCACCGGCUGCCACAGCAACCUCCGUGCCCACGAGCCCCAGGUCCCUGUCUGUGAGACCUGGGGGGUGAAUCCCACUGGAGACACGA